UACAGAGGCUGCGAGCGUUAUUCGGAUUCACUGGGCGUAAAGGGUGCGCAGGCGGCCGUGUGUGUGAGGCGUGAAAGCCCGGGGCUUAACCCCGGAAUUGCACCUCAAACUACACGGCUAGAGCAUUGGAGAGGGUAGCGGAAUUCACGGUGUAGCAGUGAAAUGCGUAGAUAUCGUGAGGAACACCAGAGGCGAAGGCGGCUACCUGGACAAUUGCUGACGCUCAGGCACGAAAGCGUGGGGAGCAAAAGGG
Molecule: ribosomal RNA, 253 nt
Filed under: uncultured bacterium
Lineage: Bacteria
Description: partial 16S ribosomal RNA
Rfam family: Bacterial small subunit ribosomal RNA
Source: RNAcentral